RNAcentral lists this ribosomal RNA (364 nucleotides) under uncultured bacterium. RNAcentral's name for it is "partial 16S ribosomal RNA". It matches the Rfam family "Bacterial small subunit ribosomal RNA", at positions 338 to 699 of the family's 1533-position model. The record is from RNAcentral.
CCUACGGGAGGCAGCAGUGAGGAAUAUUGGUCAAUGGGCGCGAGCCUGAACCAGCCAAGCCGCGUGAGGGAAGACGGUCCUAUGGAUUGUAAACCUCUUUUGUCGGGGGGCAAAAGACGCCACGUGUGGCGUUCCGAGAGUACCCGAAGAAAAAGCAUCGGCUAACUCCGUGCCAGCAGCCGCGGUAAUACGGAGGAUGCGAGCGUUAUCCGGAUUUACUGGGUGUAAAGGGUGCGUAGACGGCAGCACAAGUCUGGAGUGAAAUCCCGGGGCUUAACCCCGGAACUGCUUUGGAUACUGUGCGGCUAGAGAGUAGGAGGGGUAGGCGGAAUGCCUAGUGUAGCGGUGAAAUGCGUAGAGAUUA